RNAcentral lists this unclassified non-coding RNA (1226 nucleotides) under Hevea brasiliensis (rubber tree). The record is from RNAcentral. Lineage: Eukaryota; Viridiplantae; Streptophyta; Magnoliopsida; Malpighiales; Euphorbiaceae.
CCAAAAAUCUGCCGUGAAACAAACAAAAACAAGCAUACAUAAAUCGACUUGCCACCAUAAAAAAAAAUAACCCCAAUUACUUUCGUUUGCAUUAAGGCAACAAAUAAAUAAGUUGGCCCCAUCAUAACUAUCAAAUAACUUAUAAUGUCCUUUGAUAGGUUGGAAAGAAGAAGAGAACCAACUUACAUUGUUUUGUCAGAAUUUGCCCAUGCAGAAGACUACAUAAUUUAUCUAUAUAACAAUUUUCUAGGUAUUGUUCUAGUAUAAUCCACGUUUUUGGUUGAUUUCUGAUGCCAAAAGAGCCAUUUGCUAGGUUCGAAUUUCCAAGUUCUCAGACUUCUCUGAAUGAGGCCCAUGAGCCAGUGAUUUGUACUCCAAGCUCUUAGAUUUAUCUAUUUCUUCUGUUAGAAAUCCAGAACUUCCUGAUCUCACCAUCUGCUCAACCUGGGUUCCAUGCACUGCUGUUCCAAUUUCAUUUUCAGUAUCAGUAGUCCUUUCCGUAUCUUGUUUGGUAUCAUCAAAAUUCUGUGAGAAAGGACUGGCUAAAAAAAGCUUUUCCCAUGCACCAUCAUCAUAUAAUUCCGGUGGAAUAAAUGGGGCAUGAUUUUCAAACAAAGAUGAAUUUUCAUCCAUAAGCAAUUUCAUAAAAUCAGGACUCAAGAAAGAAUCUUUCUCAUCAGAAAAAGUGUUAGAUUCUUCUGGUUUUUCUGAAACCAUAGGUGUAGGCAUCUCAUUCAUUUGUGGUGGCUGGUACCUUAUUAUCAUCCCAUCAGAAGCUAAUUGUUCUUCAUCUGCACCUUGUUCCACUAUGCUUCCUGGUUCAGCCAUCCGCCAGUUCUCUUUGGGGUGAAGCAACUGAACCAGAAAUCCUGGACUUUGCAUUACCAUAACUAAAAAUGACAGCAUCUGCUGCUGAUUUUUUUCCAUUCCUUGAAUUUUAUCUCUCAAGAGGAGUAAGUUAUUAUCUGCAUUUUCCUGGUGCUGCCUAAGAUUAAUCAACUCCUGCAUCAGUGCAUUUUUGUCAGUCUUCAGAUUCUCAAUUUUCUUCCAUAGCCCCUCAUUUUCAGUUUUGCCAAAAGGCUCAACUGAGCUAUCCUGCUGCUGCAAUUCUUUUUGAUUGACAGUGAACUGAGAAUGUUUUCUUCUGGAGAUGUUCUUUAACAAUUGUUUUUGAUCUCUGAUAAAUCCAUCAUUUGCAAACUCCCAGCGAUCUGUAUCAAUUUUCC